AUUGCACGCUGGCGGCAGGCCUAACACAUGCAAGUCGAGCGAGCGGCGGACGGGUGCGUAAUGUAUGGGGACUGCCCGUUAGAGGGGGAUAACUACUGGAAACGGUAGCUAAUCCCGCAUACUAUCGGCUACCCCAUAUGGGAUUAGCUAGUAGGUGAGGUAAUGGCUCACCUAGGAGACGAUCCCGAGCUGGUCUGAGAGGAUGAUCAGCCACACUGGGACGGAGACACGGCCCAGACGCCUACGGAGGCAGCAGUGGGGAAUAUUGCACAAUGGGCGAAAGCCUGAAGCAGCCAUGCCGCGUGUAUGAAGAAGGCCCUAGGGUUGUAAAGUACUUUCGUUCGGGAGGCGUUACCGACAGAAGAAGCACCGGCUAACUCCGUGCCAGCAGCCGCGGUAAUAC
This 403-nucleotide ribosomal RNA is filed under the name uncultured bacterium. RNAcentral's name for it is "partial 16S ribosomal RNA". It matches the Rfam family "Bacterial small subunit ribosomal RNA", at positions 30 to 526 of the family's 1533-position model. The record is from RNAcentral.